UACGUAGGGUGCAAGCGUUAAUCGGAAUUACUGGGCGUAAAGCGUGCGCAGGCGGUUGGCAAAGUCAGCUGUGAAAGCCCCGGGCUUAACCUGGGAAUGGCGGUUGAAACUAGUCGACUAGAAUCUGGCAGAGGGGGGUGGAAUUCCACGUGUAGCAGUGAAAUGCGUAGAUAUCGGGAGGAACACCAGUGGCGAAGGCGACUACCUGGCCUGUUCUUGACGCUGAGGCGCGAAAGCUAGGGGAGCAAACGGG
Molecule: ribosomal RNA, 253 nt
Filed under: uncultured bacterium
Lineage: Bacteria
Description: partial 16S ribosomal RNA
Rfam family: Bacterial small subunit ribosomal RNA
Source: RNAcentral